UACGUAGGGUGCAAGCGUUGUCCGGAAUUAUUGGGCGUAAAGGGCUCGUAGGCGGUUUGUCGCGUCGGGAGUGAAAACCCAGGGCUCAACCCUGGGCCUGCUUCCGAUACGGGCAGACUAGAGGUAUGCAGGGGAGAAUGGAAUUCCUGGUGUAGCGGUGAAAUGCGCAGAUAUCAGGAGGAACACCGGUGGCGAAGGCGGUUCUCUGGGCAUUACCUGACGCUGAGGAGCGAAAGUGUGGGGAGCGAACAGG
RNAcentral lists this ribosomal RNA (253 nucleotides) under uncultured bacterium. RNAcentral describes it as "partial 16S ribosomal RNA". It matches the Rfam family "Bacterial small subunit ribosomal RNA", at positions 524 to 776 of the family's 1533-position model. The record is from RNAcentral.